Molecule: long non-coding RNA, 1195 nt
Organism: Cyprinus carpio carpio
Lineage: Eukaryota; Metazoa; Chordata; Actinopteri; Cypriniformes; Cyprinidae
Source: Ensembl
AUAUCGUACGAUUUGUUCUUCACGUUCAAUAAGCUUGACCCAACUCUCGACAGGAAAACAACGCGAUAUUUUCCUGCAGUUUACACGCGCCACUUCUCGGUAAGUAGACUGUCACGCGGUGUCCCGGUGUUCUGUAUAAAGUCCAUUAUAUGCUCUUAAUUAAUCAGAUAGGCUCUUUAAUGUUUGCUGGAUUUUGUCAGUCAUUUUCUACUAUUUUUUUUUUACAAAAAAAAAAAAAAAAAAGCAGCAUAUACUGCUAGCUGGGGUAAGUUAAUUAAACGUUAGCGUUAGCUUGCACUGAUCUUCGAUCAGUUUAUGAUGUCCAUAUUGGUGGAAUUAAUGGGUAACCGCCCAUUACCACUGUACUUCUGUUACAGCACCAUAACAGCAACCCUUACUGUGCUUUUACCAUAGCUACUGUGGUUCUACUGUUGUAUUUUGUAGCUAAAACACAAACAGUUAUCACAAUGACUGUAGUUCUAACUUGUGUAUUGUAAAAGCAUAGUUAAAAACACUUGCCUUCAUGGUAAAUCCUUUUAUAUAAAAUUGUAAUGUAAUUGAAUAUUUUUCUGUCUUGCAGUUACUUCAGAUCCCAUUCCAUUCACCCUUUCAUCUAUUCCAUCUACUCUACAAUCCAACCCAACGGCUCUUUUAAGAGCCAUCAUUAGCAAAAGCUCUAAUUCUCUCUCUCUCCCACACACACACACACACACACACACACACACACACACACACACACACACACACACAAACUAACACACACUCCCCCCCUCCCCCCCACACACACAUAAACUAACACACACUCUCUCUCCCAAACACACUCUCUCUCUCUCUCUCUCUCUCUCACACACACACACACACACACACACACACACACACACUCUCACGGUUGCCUUCACCCUCUGUCCCUCUUUUUUUCCUAGGCCUUCUGUCUGUCUUCUCACUUUUCUUUCCCCAUUUCUUUUUGCAUUCUUUCUUUAUCUUCAGUAUGGCAUCUUGUCAGAAUUCAGGUUUUGACCAGUUAUGUCAGGAAGCUGCAAAUAUUACAAAGGAGCUUGAACUCAAAGCUGCCAGUGCUGCACUUGAAGCAGCUACCAGGGAGGCUGAACAAAUUCUGCAAACGUUUAAUCUUCCACCACUAAAUAAAAGGAAGACCAAACGUGCCUGCAGCAGCCUCCUCAAACCAGUCUCUUUU